Molecule: non-coding RNA, 869 nt
Organism: Heterocephalus glaber (naked mole-rat)
Lineage: Eukaryota; Metazoa; Chordata; Mammalia; Rodentia; Bathyergidae
Source: RefSeq, a predicted model, not a curated record
CCCGAGCAGCGGCCCACACCCAGGAGCGAGGAGGCGGUUAAAGGCGGCAGGGAGGCUGACAUCUUUUAUCUCGGGGUCUAUGGGUAACCGCUCCGCAGUGCUCCCUCGGGAGAUCUUACCGAGCCCGCCGGGGGCCGUCCGCCCAGGCACUGGGGCACUUCACACUCGUGACUCAAGGUCACCACGGCAGUCGGUCCCUGACUCCCAGCCCGGCAGGAGUUCAGAGGCCAGAAGACACCAGCACAUGGUCUUUCUCCCACUCUGAAGUUUGCUGACAUUCCUUGAUCUUCCUGUGCUGCCUCUGCCAUCAGAUGAGAAGUCACAUGUUUCUGAGCCUUGGCCAGGUGCAUGGAUUGGCCAUUGUGUUUAUUUUUCAUCAACUUUUUCCAUGGCAGCAGAUGUGCAACUGUUACUUCAAGCCUAGGCCUGAGGAGCCUGAGGAGCAGCUUUGGUGCGGGGACGUGGAAGGACACUGAUGCCAGCACAGCAGGAGGACAAGUCAGCAUCCCCAUGCCCACAGUCGUGUUCUUAUUGCCCUGACUCGCCUGCUCCAUCUUCAGGACCAGCAUGGGACAGGUGGAAAGUUGCCCUAGGGUGUUAGCAAACUGAGACACCCAGCAGAUUCCAGGCACAAACACACUGGAGACCUUCCCCAUGCCACACCUGGAGCCCAAGGCCACCUGGGAUGCAGACAGGAUGAACGGGUGGAACCACACCAGGAAAUGUUCUCUAGGAGUGCAUCAGAACUGUUAAGCUGGCGAAUAGGAACAGGUGACUUGCAAAGGCGGCAGAGUACUUUGAGAUGGCGGGGGGGCGGAGAGGAGAAGAAGAAGGAGGAGGAGGAGGAGGAAAGAAGAAGAAGAGAGGAA